GUAGUCAUAAAAACCUGAACUUUGAUGUAUCUAUCAAUGUCAGCAUCUUGUCUCUGCAACUCACGCUCAAUAUCAUCACCCACAAGCCCAAGAAAUGCUGAGUCGCUACAAGAACCCAAACGUCCAUUAUCCAAUGACAAGCCCAAUCCAGUCGACACCGAUCGCUGCUGCAAGAAAUCAACAGAAGAUAUCUGGGAGUUAUUGUUUUCAAGAAAAUCUUGCUCUUUGAGUCUCCUUUUCUUUGGUUCCAGCGCAUAAUUCCAUUGCAAAUCUAGCCCUCCUUCAUCAGCUGGACCUGGAGCUAACCCCACUACUUGAA
This 319-nucleotide long non-coding RNA is filed under the name Nicotiana benthamiana. RNAcentral describes it as "long non-coding RNA (NBEN_LNC001853)". Lineage: Eukaryota; Viridiplantae; Streptophyta; Magnoliopsida; Solanales; Solanaceae. The record is from RNAcentral.